ACAAACGCUGGCGGCGUGCCUAAUACAUGCAAGUCUAACGGGUAGCAAUAUCAGUGGCGCACGGGUGAGGAAUAUAUGGGUAAUCUGCCCUCGAGUCGGGGAUAACCAGUCGAAAGACUGGCUAAUACCGGAUAAGACCACAGGAUCUGCGGAUCUAGGGGUUAAAGGUUUUUCGCUUGAGGAUGAGCCCAUACGGGAUUAGCUAGUUGGUGAGGUAAUGGCUCACCAAGGCUACGAUCCCUAACUGGUCUUAGAGGAUGAUCAGUCACACUGGAACUGAGACACGGUCCAGACUCCUACGGGAGGCAGCAGUAGGGAAUAUUGCACAAUGGGGGAAACCCUGAUGCAGCGACGCCGCGUGAGUGAUGAAGGCCUUCGGGUCGUAAAGCUCUGUCGUAUGGGACUAACACAAUGAAGGUACCAUGCAAGAAAGGAUCGGCUAACUUCGU
Molecule: ribosomal RNA, 449 nt
Filed under: uncultured bacterium
Lineage: Bacteria
Description: bacterial SSU rRNA
Rfam family: Bacterial small subunit ribosomal RNA
Source: RNAcentral